UCCCCUCCACCUCCGGCCCCGCCGAGAAAGGGACCCCCCCCCCCCCCCCGCCCCGGGUCGCCGGCCGUCGAGGGAGCGGAGGCGGAGGCGGAGGCGGAGGCGUGACGGCGCGAGGGAGGGUGAGGGUGCGCCGUGCCCGCAGUCUCCUGUGACAGGAACUACAGUAUCCCAUGGAUUCGCUUCAGAAGUCCCACGAUUUGUGCCUGAAGCGCAAGCUUGUUGAUGAUUGCCUGUCGAAAGACUUCAAGUAUCGCCGCGUCGAAGAGGAUAAUGUAUCUUCCAAUGUGGAGAGCAGGCCCUUACCCGGUUCACCUUCUCAGAGUUGCUGCAUUCAACCUAAUCUGGCUAAAGAUUGUGUUAAUUACCUGAAAAGCGGGUUGCCAAGUCGCAUUGCAUUUUACAAACAAGGUGCAUGGUGUGAUUUCCCUCAGAAAAUAAUGGAGUCCCUUGUUGAGGGAUUCAAAGCUGAUAAAUCUAGUGCUGUAGUUGUGAUGGAUGAUCAGCCUCUGCUUGUUGAUUUCUUGUCGAUGACCAUGGUGAACCUAAAAACAAGAAAGCAGAGAUCUGUUUCAUGGCUAGAUGGCACUGGCAAGUGGUUUUUUCCUUCUGCAUUCUUUGACGAGGGCGUUGAUGAAUCCAGAAAAUUAAACAUGGGUUCUGAAGGCAGCGGACAAGGUCUAACUGAGGGGAUGGUUCCAAAGGCUCCAAAUGAACUGGUGAAGCAAGCUGUCGUUGAAACUAGCUCUCCAGUUUUACAGAAUUCUUGUAUUCCUGACAUAUUACGCAAGAAGAUUGUGCCUGUUGAAAGAGGCAGUGAGAGCUUUCAGUUUGUUCAGAACCUUUUCCUCUCUGGCAUGGGUUCAUUUGCAUCACCUAAAAACUUACUUCAUAUUCAUCGGUACUCUGCAGAGGAUGUCACAGCACAAUGUAGACUUGAGUCUUUUGCAAGACAGAUGAGGUUGACGAGAAAGAAAAUUGGUUAUGCUGAUGUGAGAUAUGGAUGGCUUGGAUCUAGGAAGCAAGACAUAGUUGGAGUUUUGAUUAAUGGUUUUAUUAGCACUGGACAAACAAGUCACAGUUCUGAUAUGCGUACUGGUGUGUAUCUCUCGCCUGAAAACCGUGCAUUUACCAGUGUUGGUCUCUGUGAUGUUGAUGAAAAAGGAGUUCAGUACAUGUUGCUGUGCCGAGCAAUAUUGGGCAACAUGGGAACUAUAAAACCAGGAUCACAGGAUGAGUUUCUAAGCAUAUAUGAUUCUGGUGUUGACAAUUGCUCCAAUCCAAGCUAUUAUGUGAUUUGGCCAUCAAAGCUAGGCACUCAUAUUUCUCUGGAAUAUCUCAUUAGUUUUAGGCUCACACCAGAAAUUCAAGACUACUUGCUUCACUUGAAGGGUUUAUGGUUGUGCCCACCACCAAAAGAAGUGGAAGUGGAUCUUUCUACUCUUCAACCUGUAGUGUGCGAAUCUGAUAAUGGACCAACUUCUCCAUGGAUCCCAUUCAGAGUUCUCUUUGGAACAAUACAAGACAGUAUAUCAUCACUAGCAAGGGAACUGCUCUUUCAUCAUUAUCAAGAGCUGAAGGAAAACAAGAUUACUCGUGAGGAAAUGGUCAAGAAAAUUAUCAUAAUAGUUGGAGAGCAAUUGCUUUUGGAUUCCUUGACGAAACUUAACUACAAUCCGUCAGAAUGGUACAAGUCUUGUUCAGAAGUUAACUGUCAUCCUUUAAGUAUAAAACUGGAUCCUAUCUCCAACAGUAGAAUUAACAUAAACUCUGCAUCUGGAAGAGCUAGCAACGAUUCUCAAGCACCAAGUGUACAACCUCAGAAAUGUGGACCUGUGGAUUCUACAGUAGUAAGCAUGGCCCUCAAAAGAGAACAAUUCUCCAUCCCAAGUAUGUGUUCUGAAAGCUUUUCAUCCCAUUGCACAAAAAGUCAGGAUUCUGUUGUGAGGAUGAGACCCGAUGACACCCUUGUGAGGAGGGCAUUAAUCAGUGAUAGUGUUAAUGGCUGUGAUUCUGUUGGACCAACUGUUGAAUCGCAUUGCCAUUCUCUCCUUUCGCAGAAUUUUGACUCUGAAGGGCAUGCUUCUCAUGUAGUAUCAAUGUUUGGAAACUCUGGAGCAAGACUACAUUCUAGUGCACCAUGUAUGACAACUGAAGCCCAGGUGUUUGUUGCACCAAGUAGAGCAUAUGAGAACUCAUCAUCUCUGAAUGCUGAAGGCAGUGAUGCUGUGAUUUCAAGCAUAGCCCCUCAAGUCCACGCACCAAGUAUUCCCCCUCAAAAUUGUCCACGAACGAGUGUGGCACCUCACCUCUGUUUACCAAGAAGUAUGGCGCCCCACCUCCGUGUACUGAGAAAGAUUUCUAAGGUUCAUUCAACAAACAUGCCUGAAGCUCACUAUUCCAGUGCAGCAACUAUGGUUCCUGUCAUCUGUAAACCUCCAUUGUUUGGCAUUACCCAAAAAGGGCAUGGUGUUCAUACAUCAAGUAUGAUGUGUACAACACCAAAUGUAGUUCUCCAUGGUCCUGAUCACCCUGCAAAGUUGGCAGAUACAGAGCGUAAUGCUCCGUCACUAAUAAAUGGGGCGUUGAGAAGAGAGGUACAAGUACAACGCCCCAAUCAAGGUGUUGAUGCUAGUAGCAUCAUCACCCAAGCAGCAGAUACACUCGUGGCGUUAUCAGCCCACGGUGAGAAAGGCUGGUAGAACCGUAGAAGAGUUAUGGUUCAUUUGUUACUCAGGUGUUUGUCGCUCCACUGUAAAUAAGUGGAGGAAUCCAUCUUUUCCUCCCUUUGGCAGCGCAAAUUUCACCUUGUUAACUUCGAUGGUUAUUCUGCAGUGGUUAAGUACUGUUGCAGUGUUGCUUCUAUACUAACCUGGCUGGUUACUCAACAGAGAUUGUACAUUUUGUACAGUUGGUCAUGCUUUUUCACAUGUGUAUAUACAUUGACUGGCAUAUUUCAUAGUAGUACAUAAACCUGAAAGUUGCUGAAUGUUCAGAGCCCAAGCCCAAGCUUCAGUUUGUCAGGUACAACCUUUUUUGGCUGCCGCCGGCUUCUGUGACUGCUUUUUUGCUGCAAAGAGUCAUUGAGCAAGAAGAUUAAUCUGGGCCGGACGGGGAGAAUCCGGUUCGAUUCGAUGCCCACAAGUGCAGGGACCAGAAAGGCGUCGACAGGUUUGUUUUCUACUUGUGUGUUACUGCAGCUAGACAAUUCUGAGUUCCAACUUGGGGGCCUCUCUGAAAAGGAUCCCAAGUCUUGACGGCACAACAUUAAUCACAGUCCUCCAAAUGUGGCUGUCCAUUCAUUGGAGACCUCAGCCUAAGUAAAAUAUCCAUUGCAAGUAGGAGUACGUAAAUUAGUCAAGGAUGAUUCCGGGGAUUGGGAAAAAUACAUCUUUGGUGCGGUUGUUCAGCUCACAUGUAGGAUAAGACGCAGGGGGACAAAUUGGACUCUAGAAAAAAAAAAGGACAGGAACUGAAUUUUUGCGGAACGUAGUAGGGUCUAUUUGGUUCCUUUGUCUUAUAAGCUACAGCUAAAUAUUAAAUUUGAAAAAUUUAGGAUUUUUAUCCAAUUUUAGAACUAAAUUUUAGAGUUUUUACGUUGUAGUAUAUUUUCGAGCCUAUGCUUUUAAACAGCAAAUACCACAUAUUAGUGGUAUCUGAUCUUUCGAUUAAUUGUGAUUAAUCGUCUUGAUCGAUCCCCUGACUCUGAUCAAGGACAUUCAUUUGAUCAACUCGAUCAGAAAUUUGAUCGUCCGAUUAAUCGUCGAUCAGACGCGAUUAAUCGUCCGAUCAAAGCACCUAUCGAUCACUUUUAGAACAAGUCUUAAGGUUUAGCACAUGUGAAUAUGUGUUACUACUGCUGGUUGCUUUACACUAUGAUUGCUUUAUACUAUGCGCUAUAUAGAAUAUAUGUUCCGGUAUACAUAGUACCGAUCAGGUCGAUUAAUCGAGACUGAUCGAUGAUUAAUUGUCUUAAUCGGUCAGAUAACAUUGCAUAUAUAAAAAAGUUGUCUGUAAA
Oryza sativa Japonica Group (Japanese rice) is the source of this 4015-nucleotide non-coding RNA. NCBI's taxonomy places the organism in Eukaryota, Viridiplantae, Streptophyta, Magnoliopsida, Poales, Poaceae. The record is from RefSeq and is a predicted model, not a curated record.